This 482-nucleotide ribosomal RNA is filed under the name uncultured bacterium. Its description in RNAcentral is "partial 16S ribosomal RNA". It matches the Rfam family "Bacterial small subunit ribosomal RNA", at positions 30 to 507 of the family's 1533-position model. The record is from RNAcentral.
AUUGAACGCUGGCGGCAUGCCUUACACAUGCAAGUCGAACGGUAACAGGUCUUCGGAUGCUGACGAGUGGCGAACGGGUGAGUAAUACAUCGGAACGUGCCCAGACGUGGGGGAUAACGAGGCGAAAGCUUUGCUAAUACCGCAUACGAUCUAAGGAUGAAAGCAGGGGACCGCAAGGCCUUGCGCGUUUGGAGCGGCCGAUGGCAGAUUAGGUAGUUGGUGGGAUAAAAGCUUACCAAGCCGACGAUCUGUAGCUGGUCUGAGAGGACGACCAGCCACACUGGGACUGAGACACGGCCCAGACUCCUACGGGAGGCAGCAGUGGGGAAUUUUGGACAAUGGGCGAAAGCCUGAUCCAGCAAUGCCGCGUGCAGGAUGAAGGCCUUCGGGUUGUAAACUGCUUUUGUACGGAACGAAAAGGCUCUGGCUAAUACCUGGGGCACAUGAUGGUACCGUAAGAAUAAGCACCGGCUAACUACGUG